Molecule: small nuclear RNA, 23 nt
Filed under: Arabidopsis thaliana (thale cress)
Lineage: Eukaryota; Viridiplantae; Streptophyta; Magnoliopsida; Brassicales; Brassicaceae
Description: snRNA_12670
Source: RNAcentral
ACGAAAUUAUUAACAAAGUUUUG